GACUCCGUAGUGAAGUUCAUGUUGAGUUGCAAACUCAUUGAUGUGUAUUGAGGAUACACCGGAGUCU
This 67-nucleotide transfer RNA is filed under the name Rhynochetos jubatus (kagu). RNAcentral's name for it is "tRNA-Cys". Lineage: Eukaryota; Metazoa; Chordata; Aves; Eurypygiformes; Rhynochetidae. The record is from RNAcentral.